RNAcentral lists this ribosomal RNA (460 nucleotides) under uncultured bacterium. RNAcentral's name for it is "partial 16S ribosomal RNA". It matches the Rfam family "Bacterial small subunit ribosomal RNA", at positions 338 to 795 of the family's 1533-position model. The record is from RNAcentral.
CCUACGGGUGGCAGCAGUGAGGAAUAUUGGUCAAUGGACGAGAGUCUGAACCAGCCAAGUAGCGUGAAGGAUGACUGCCCUAUGGGUUGUAAACUUCUUUUAUAUGGGAAUAAAAUGUUCCACGUGUGGGAUUUUGUAUGUACCAUAUGAAUAAGGAUCGGCUAACUCCGUGCCAGCAGCCGCGGUAAUACGGAGGAUCCGAGCGUUAUCCGGAUUUAUUGGGUUUAAAGGGAGCGUAGGUGGAUUGUUAAGUCAGUUGUGAAAGUUUGCGGCUCAACCGUAAAAUUGCAUUUGAAACUGGCAGUCUUGAGUACAGUAGAGGUGGGCGGAAUUCGUGGUGUAGCGGUGAAAUGCUUAGAGAUCACGAAGAACUCCGAUUGCGAAGGCAGUUCACUGGACUGCAACUGACACUGAGGCUCGAAAGUGUGGGUAUCAAACAGGAUUAGAUACCCGGGUAGUC